CCGCAGUGCCAGCAGUGAGAACUCAUCAGUGAGGAUGUAGAUUCCAGUAACGUAAAACAUUUAGGAGCAUUUAAGGGGUUUGUAGUUAUCCUUCACAAUGUAAGAAAUCACGAGCGUGUCAUUCAGACACUGGAAGAACUCGUGCAUUCGAGCAGUCAUUCACGCGCGAUUACAGAAAUAUAAUAAAGUCUCUUUGUUUGACUGUGUUUGUGAUCAAGGGCUGAUUACUUUAAAUCACAGCCGAGGAAGUUCUGUCAGUACUCUAAUUGAUGGAUCGCACAUCAUCGCAGAUAAUAAACCAGGACAAACGCAGAAUCAAUCAGGCAAUGCGUGGAUGGAGGCUGUGAGUCCUGAUGGAUAUAUGUACAACACUGAGACGGGUGGUGAGAAAACAUCUGAACACAUUCAGCUUCACAUCAUAGUGUGCAUUAGACAAUAUAACCCUAUAAAGUUUAAAUGAUUGACAUAAACUCUGUUGAACCUUCUUCACACUCAAUCUCCUCAUGUCUUCUGUUUCUGAUUGAGAGUUUAAAGUGUUUUCAACCAGUCAAAGCUCUUUUAUUGUAAUUGUAGAAAUGUCUUGAGUUAUUGUGAUCCAGUAAAGGUCAGAAUAAGGUCAGUAAUAUCUCCAGAUGAACUCUUCCUGGACUGAAGCAGCUCAGCUUUACUUGAUUCUCCAUCAAUCAUGUUUUAGAGUCUCAAAUCUGAUCCUCAGGAUCUUUUGAGGAGCGUUUGUUUCCAGAAGCUUUACUUUCACUGUUCCUCAGCGGAGGAAUGAUCUUCACAAGCCUCCAGAACAUCUCACAUCUUCUGAGGAGCCUUGAUUUCUCCAGCUCUCAGUCUCUGUGUUAUAUGUGCGGAUCAUUUACACAUCACUGGAGAUAUAGAGCACAGACUCAUAUUUACAUCAGUUUAUAUCAGUAUCUGCUCUACUGAGAAACAUCUCACUGAUCUACAUCACAAACUAAUAAAAAGCAGCAGCUACGCUAAAUUAUAUAUUUUUGCUCAGUUUGAGUCUCUGAAUGAAAUUGAGCUGUUUUUUUUAAUAUAUAUAAAUUUUUUGAUUCACAGCUUUGAAGCAGUGAAAUAAUUCAGCCACUAGUGAAGUUGGUCCUUAUCUAAUGUCAUUCGUUCAGUUAAUGCUUUCUGUUCUCUUUGAGUUUGCAGAACCUCUCAUAGAAGUUAUGAAUGAUAUCUUGUCAUCAGAAAAAGUCUGUAGCGUUGCAGUAAAAAAGUUGCUCAGAAUGGAUUAAGCAGAAUUACUAAUUAUGUAUCGUGUCUCUCCUAAACUAAAACUACCAGUAAUAUAGCACAUACCUGUUAAACUCAUCAGAGAAAUGAAGUGUCAAAUCCUCAAGAGAUGGAGACUUUAUUUAGAUGCUACUCUAUAGAGGAAAUUCAUUCUGAAGAAACAGUCUUAUUAGGUCUUACUGUAAUCAGCAUAUUUGUGAUAUUUUUUCCUAAAAUUGAUUUCUAGGACACUUUAAACUUGAUGAAGGGCAAUAUUUUCCUCACAGAAUUAGAUGUACGUCAGAUUCUUACACUUUGUCAAUACAUUCAGUUACAAUAAUAAGACACUGUAUGGAUGUUAUUAGAUCUUUCCAUGCGGAGGAAACAGAAGCUGCAUCAGAAGCGCAUUUACUCGCUGUUUAAUGAAGAUAAGAGGAUCCAGAAAUCCAUUCACACAGUAAAAUUGCAUAAUGUUAAUGUUUUACUUUUUUAAAAUACAAAUAUGAAAUGUUUGAAAAAUGCAAUGAUACUUUUAAAUAUGAAACCAAACCACCAGUGGGUGAGUCACUGUCUUAAUGAGUGAGUCACUGAUUCACUGGAUUCGUUCAAACUGCUGAUUCAUUCAAUAAAUGAUUAUAAACGGUUCACUGAAUCAUUGACUCACUUGAUUCGUUCAGAAACACUGAAUCAUUCAGUGAUGAAGCACUGUUGUGUGUUGCUCAGAGAUGUGUGACUGUUCUGCUGUGGCUCUGCUUUGUUUCGUUUCACAAAAACGGUCAAUAAUGUGUCUAAAAUAUUAAUAUCAGCUACUUGUUUACUGAACUGCUGUUGUAUAAAAUCAAUGUCACAUUUGCAAUCGUGCUGAUAAACGG
Molecule: long non-coding RNA, 2102 nt
Organism: Carassius gibelio (silver crucian carp)
Lineage: Eukaryota; Metazoa; Chordata; Actinopteri; Cypriniformes; Cyprinidae
Exons: 2
Source: RefSeq, a predicted model, not a curated record